RNAcentral lists this ribosomal RNA (718 nucleotides) under gamma proteobacterium IMCC14383. RNAcentral describes it as "bacterial SSU rRNA". It matches the Rfam family "Bacterial small subunit ribosomal RNA", at positions 28 to 743 of the family's 1533-position model. Lineage: Bacteria; Pseudomonadati; Pseudomonadota; Gammaproteobacteria. The record is from RNAcentral.
AUUUAACGGCUGGCGGCAGGCCUAACACAUGCAAGUCGAGCGCGAAAGCACUUCGGUGUGAGUAGAGCGGCGGACGGGUGAGUAACGCGUAGGAAUCUACCUAGUAGUGGGGGACAACUCGGGGAAACUCGAGCUAAUACCGCAUAAGCCCUACGGGGGAAAGCGGGGGACCUUCGGGCCUCGUGCUAUUAGAUGAGCCUGCGUUGGAUUAGCUAGUUGGUGGGGUAAAGGCCUACCAAGGCGACGAUCCAUAGCUGGUCUGAGAGGAUGAUCAGCCACACCGGGACUGAGACACGGCCCGGACUCCUACGGGAGGCAGCAGUGGGGAAUAUUGCGCAAUGGGCGAAAGCCUGACGCAGCCAUGCCGCGUGUGUGAAGAAGGCCUUCGGGUUGUAAAGCACUUUCAAUUGGGAGGAAAGGUUCACGGUUAAUAACCGUGAGCUGUGACGUUACCUUUAGAAGAAGCACCGGCUAACUCCGUGCCAGCAGCCGCGGUAAUACGGAGGGUGCGAGCGUUAAUCGGAAUUACUGGGCGUAAAGCGCGCGUAGGUGGUCUGUUAAGUCGGAUGUGAAAGCCCCGGGCUCAACCUGGGAACUGCAUUCGAUACUGGCAGACUAGAGUGCGAGAGAGGGAGGUAGAAUUCCAUGUGUAGCGGUGAAAUGCGUAGAUAUGUGGAGGAAUACCAGUGGCGAAGGCGGCCUCCUGGCUCGACACUGA